ACGCACGCUGGCGGCGUGCUUCACCCAUGCCAGUCGCACGGAAAGGCCCUGCUUUUGUGGGGUGCUCGAGUGGCGAACGGGUGAGUAACACGUGAGUAACCUGCCCUUGACUUUGGGAUAACUUCAGGAAACUGGGGCUAAUACCGGAUAGGAGCUCCUGCUGCCUGGUGGGGGUUGGAAAGUUUCGGCGGUUGGGGAUGGACUCGCGGCUUAUCAGCUUGUUGGUGGGGUAGUGGCUUACCAAGGCUUUGACGGGUAGCCGGCCUGAGAGGGUGACCGGCCACAUUGGGACUGAGAUACGGCCCAGACUCCUACGGGAGGCAGCAGUGGGGAAUAUUGCACAAUGGGCGGAAGCCUGAUGCAGCAACGCCGCGUGCGGGAUGACGGCCUUCGGGUUGUAAACCGCUUUCGCCUGUGACGAAGCGUGAGUGACGGUAAUGGGUAAAGAAGCACCGGCUAACUACGUG
RNAcentral lists this ribosomal RNA (467 nucleotides) under uncultured bacterium. RNAcentral describes it as "partial 16S ribosomal RNA". It matches the Rfam family "Bacterial small subunit ribosomal RNA", at positions 29 to 507 of the family's 1533-position model. The record is from RNAcentral.